AGAAAUUAUUACUCCACGCCUUUCAGAGCAUCAUUAUGGGUGUUAGAUGUUUAGGCAGGCAUUUUAAGAUAUACAUGCUCAGAUGCUGUCGAUAAAUAUGUAAGUUGGCUCUUUUUUGUAUGAUAAGUCUUUAUCAAUAAACAAUAAACAAGAAUAACCCGUAAUAUGUCUCGUAUUCAGUAUGAAGUGACACUUUAAAGUACACUACUUGUUCCUUUAAUUUCCCAAACAGUAAUUUUUAGGCAAAGUAUCGGUAUCUGAUCUGUAUCACCGAUACUCGCCUUGAUUUUACUUGGUAUUGGAUCGGAAAUCAGUAGUAUCGCGCAUCACUAGCGCAAACAGUAUUGAUCUUGUAACAUUUAAUGUGAUUAAGUUACAAACUUGCCACGUUAAAUCUACAUGCAGUCUGUUAAUGAUUGACCCCUCCUACGUCAGUACGGGCAUGGCCCCGCCCUUUAUGGCAACUGUUCAUUGAAAGACAGUGCCAUGGGGAUGGACCAAACCAGGUCACCUAAAAACACCCUGCAACAAAGAAACUUUGCUUUUGCAUUAGCUGGCUUGCGCAUGCUAUUGCUUUCUGCCCCUGUUCACCUGCUCGGACACCGCUCCGCCACGCUAUUGGGUCACCACAAAUUCUCUAUGUAAAUUAAGUUUCAGGACCGCCGAAACUGCAUGAACUUCCACAAACCGACUCUCAUCAGUCCGUCAACUCGGUAAACGACAGCCGACCACGAGCGAAUCCCAAGGACGUCACCGAAGCCACAAGCCAAUCUGGAGCACCGUGUUUCCCCAAGGCCAGCCGGUGAGGGAAAUUUAGGACUUCCAGCAAAUAGACACAAGUAACACAAACUAAUGUUGUCUCUUGCUGAUCUAGUGCAGAUUGAUCUUAAGCAGUUAAAGAAAAGCCACAUCUCUGCUUUUGUGGUUUCUCAGGUGUGAUUCUAAGAUCUUCUUAGAAGUAUUAGAAUUAAUUUGGGACGUUGUCAACUCAUUUUGCAUCCUCUAAACUGUAUAACUGUACGGUCCUUUCUAAAAUGCAUUAAAAGUCAUAAUAGUUUGCACGGAUGUGAGCAGUGCAUUGCAGUAGCACAAAUGGUGGAGGGAAAGGCAGUGUAUUUAACAUACGGUCCUUCAGAACAAAGAGAAGAUGAGGUGUUCAACCAAGCUGGAUAACCUCACCAUCAAAAGCAAGUAUGGCCUCUGGUAAGACCUGGUAUUUUAUGUUUCAAACAGGUUCCACUUGACUACAUGCACCUUGUUUGCCUUGAAGCUACGAAAAGACUUCUUACAUAUUUGUGGUGUGGCCCUCAGAUCUGUCGACUGAGUAUUCUAAGAAAUUAGAAAUGAACAUCAGUCAUUUUGAAGGGUGCUUUGCCCGCUGAGUUUUCAAGGCAGCCAAGAGGCAUGGCAGAAUUAGACAGGUGGAAAGAUACUGAGCUACGUCAGUUCAUGCUUUACACAGGACCGAUAAUCCUAAAGGAAGCACUUACUAAAGACCAGUGCCAUCGCUUUCUUUGUCUAAGUGUUGGCAUGAACAUUUUUUUUGGAAGACAUGGAUGGGAAGAGAGAAUGUUAUCUAGGAUAUGCAGGUGACAUUUUGGAGCACUUUUUGGAUACAUCAGUGGAUUUCUAUGGACCCACCUUACCACCAUACAACAACCAUUCCAUCAAACACUUGGCUGAUGACUUAGCUAACUUUCGCAGCUCCUUAACCCACAUAUCUUGUUUUACAUUUGAGAACCACCUGCAGGUUAUUAAAAAAAAAAAAAAAAAAAAAAAAAAAAACUUGUGAGAAGUGGAAAACAACCACUGGUGCAAGUCACAAAAAGACUUGCAGAAAGAGAGUCUACUGAAAUGCAUGCAAGACAAUUACUAAGAAAAACAAAGAUCACAUCAAAGAUGUCAGACAACUGUGUGCUACUCAUGGAUAAUGUAGUGGGAUUUAUCAGAGAAAAAAAAGUGAUGGAACACUAAGGAUUGAUAUGCUCUGAGAAACAGACUGUGAUAGUGUGUUUGAAAAGUCAUGCAAUUCGAAGCUGUUCAACAUUAUGUUCGUCAGUCGUGACUUGAAAAUGGCAAGAAGUAUAAUUCUGAGAAGCAGAAAGAAUGUCUACAGAAAGGCAUUGUGUCUCCCUUACAAACAUGAAUUUGCAAUAUUCCCUCAGCUACAAGUACUCAAAUUCAACUCAAACCAUCUAACACCAAAUGUGUCUUUGCCGGAUCGUCUGACAAAAUUUAAAGAUCUACAGCCCAAGACAGGAAAACUGCUCAAUUUCUAAGUAUACUUUUUCAAUUAAACUGCCUUUCUGUUUCUGCUUUUGGUGAUUAUUUAAAUGGUUAAAAAGUUACUCUAUAUGUACAGCUGACGUUCAAGAAAGUCAACUUUGAAGCUUUUCCCCGUCAAGCUCAGCCACAGAAGCUCUCUCCCAGGAAGAAGAACCCAACGACCAGCCCCUAGCCAGAGGACUGCCUCACCAGCAGAACCCUCCCCCUUCGGCAUCUUCGCCGAAGAUCUCCUUGAGGCAGUCCGGGGGCUUGGGUUCAGUGAGACCAACCUCAUCCACAUCUUUCUGGCUGGAUUGGAUGAACCAUUCGAUUGGGAGCUGGGUAAAAUUGAGACAUGGACUUGAGGGGAGGUGGUGGAGUAUUCCUACCUGAGGAAGGAGAGGAAGAUCCUGGAGGGGAAAUGGACCCCUUUCACCACCAAAAGCACCAUCUCCCAGCCCAUGACCAACCCCCAAGGGUUAACCUGCACCCAAAAGCGGAGGCUGAAGAGAAAGGCUUCUUCAGUGAGGGUUGCUCCAGCCCCAGAGCGCCCUCCAGUGUCGGCUUCAGUCCAGUCGCCUCCAGCCCUGCCAGCUCGUUACAGUGCUCCAGUCCAGCCGGCUUCAGUCUAGUCGCCUCCAGUUCAGCCGUCUUCAGUCCAGUCGCCUCCAGCUCUGCCGACUCCCCAAAGACCUCCAGACCAGCCGGCUUUAGUCCAGUUGCCUCCAGCCCUCCAGCGAGGCAUCUGGGAGGUGCCGGCAGGGCGGGACUACUGGGUGUUGCCAGCAGGGCAAGGCGUCUGGGAGGUGCCGGACUUCGCAUACGCUACUGACAGGUACCCCCAGAGUUACAGCAAUAGACAUUUAGGGGUGAACACCUGCAACCCAGAACCCCAGAUGUGUCUCACAGCCAUCAACAUUCAUUAAGAUGUGAGCUAACACGCAUAACCAAAUCAGAGAGAAGGCUGCAUGGUUCAUCACCAAUUGCCUCAGCUUUAAAUAGAAAUGACGUAACACUAUGAUAAACGGCAUGUAUCAGAGAGGAGACAUGGGGUCUCACAUGUGGCCACAGCUUCACACACUUGAGAGAGGAGACAACAUGAGGUCUCACAUGUGGCAAGUUAGACGAAGAAUUCAGAAAUCUUUCUCCAGGCCAACUGGCAGAACUGAAAGAGGCAUGCAUUUUUUUUUAUAUCUUUUGCAUAAAGGUUUAUUGUGUGUGUUGCUCAUUAUGGUGUUCUUUUGUACCUUAAAUUUUACAUGCUGGUUUUCUCUAUUUUGUAAUGUCUAGUUUUGUCUCCUGCAAACGAAGGGUAAGUAAACUUUCAGGGGGAUCUUAUUUAUAGGCUUAAGGGCUAUAAAAAUAAUGUAUAAAAGUAUCUCAGGCAAACUAAAUUCCUACAGUUACAUAUACAGAGUUUAUCAUUGCUUAGUUAUACUACGCUGAGUUGUAGAUCCCACCUGUACAAGAAUUUAAUUUCAUUUUUUAAAGAGUGUUAAAUUUUUUCAUUUUUUACAGGUACAUUUGGGAGAGCACACAGAAGUAAUGAGUACAUCACAGCAGACCAUUUCAAGUGGAUGUGCACGUGUAGAUGUGGCUUGUCAGACUGACUCUCUAGAAACUGUGAAUGUGACUACACAAACGGAUGAUAUAACAAAAACAUCUGUUGGCACACAGCUGUCCUUAAGAACGCAGAAAGAGUCGCACUUUCGGAGUAAAGGGUCACAGGCAACAGUUAAAUGUGAAACUGUUGGCACAAUAACGACGUCCUUUGAUGUACCAUUUGCCUCAACACCUAUAAAGGCUCUUGGUGUCAGCACAACCAAAAGACCUCAUCUGGAAUUGGAAGAGGAGGAGGUGGAAGAGGAAGACUCAUACAUAGACUUUGAGACAGAACCUUAUGACUCAACUUUUAAACCAGACGACACAACCAUUUCACAGGAAUCAGAAAUGUUGAUUGUGAAAAGGCCCAUGUAUGGAGAUGCAAAAUACAUUGUUUUUGAAACAUGUUUGCGGGAGCUGUUUGCAACGUGUCCAAUUUGCAAAUCAAAGUGUGAUACGGAGCAACACCGCAUGGGCACAUAUGUUGCUUUCAGCCAGAUUUGCCCCAAGUGUAUGUACAACAGGAAGUGGCAGAGCCAGCCAAUUGUUGGAAGUACACCGGUUGGAAACGUCCUCUUAUAAGCAGCCACUUAUUUUACAGGAGGCUCAUUUAUCCAACUACAGAAGGCUGUGCAAUUAAACUUGUUCCAGUAUGACACAUUUCAUCGACAUUGCAGAAGUUUUUUGGAACCAGCAAUUGUUCAUAAGUGGAAAAGUGAGCAGCAAAACAUAAUAGCAAAGUUAAAAAGGGAGGAAAGACUGCUAUUGCUGGAGAUAUGCGUGCAGACUCACCAGGCCAUUCAGCCAAAUUUGGAAGCUACACAGUAAUGGACAUGCAGAGUAAUACAAUUGUGGACCUCCAGCUUGUUCAGAGCAAUGAGGUUGGAGGUAGCUACCAUAUGGAGAAAGAAGGGCUGAAGAGAUGUCUGGAUCUACUGGAGAACAACGGGUUAGAGGUGGAUUACAUUGUCACCGACCGUCAUCCACAGAUCCAGAAGUACCUCAGGGAGCGCAAGAUAACCCAGUUCUACGAUGUAUGGCACUUCGAGAAGGGUUUGUUUAAGAAAUUAAAUAAACUGGGAAAAAACAAGGAGUGUGAAUUGGUGAAGAAGUGGCAACGUAGCAUCAGAAAUCAUGUUUACUGGUGCGCCACUUCCUCUACAUCGGGACCAGAGAAGGUGGCCAAGUGGACUUCGCUGAUUAACCACCUCCAGAAUGUGCACACGCAUGACAAUGCUUUAUUCCCAAGUGUGCACAUCCACUUAGAGCUUCAAAGGACCCAAAGAAAUGGUUUCAACCAGGGUCACAGGCUCUCUUCAAAGUUGAAAGAGUACUGUGCAACAAGAGGGUGCUGAAGGAUGUUGAGAAAUUGAGUCAUCAUUAUCAGACAUCUUCACUUGAGGCUUUCCACAGCCUUAUUCUAAGAUUUACACCAAAAAACGUUGUUUUCCUGUUCAUGGGAAUGCUGUGCAGACUGUACCUUGCAGCGUUUCAUCACAAUGAAAACGCAAACCGUCAACAAGCCACAACCGCUACAGGACAAGCAAUGUACAAAAUGGUGUUGCCAAAAUCAAAAAGAGGGGAAUGGACAACACGGGCAUUAAAAACAGAACCAACCUAUAGAUAUGUUGAGGAGCUACUGAAACUGGUCUUCGAGGUCAUCAUUAUGGACCCCUCUCCAUUUGUGGAUGAAUUGAAGAAAAUUCCCAUUCCCAAGCCCCUUUGUGCAGAAUACGACAGACCAACAAAGGAAGAAGCCAUUGCCCAUCACAAGUCUCGGUUCAGUCAAGAGGGGGUCGGAAGCCAACAUACCGACCAGCCUGAUCUGGAAAUGCCUGCCGUAUCCGGGUUACAACACAGCACGGAAUUACAACACGAACACUCCGACCCAAGUAGCCCCAGCACCAGCUGACAAAACUGCGGUACGCCAGGUAGCGGAACUGCCUAAAAGAAAUAAAGACUUUUUUUUAAAAAUCUGUGUGACAAUUUAUUUUGGGAAUAAAGAUCGUUUGAUUAACAUAUCUGAA
Molecule: non-coding RNA, 5894 nt
Organism: Danio rerio (zebrafish)
Lineage: Eukaryota; Metazoa; Chordata; Actinopteri; Cypriniformes; Danionidae
Source: RefSeq, a predicted model, not a curated record